This 805-nucleotide long non-coding RNA is filed under the name Rattus norvegicus (Norway rat). RNAcentral describes it as "long non-coding RNA NONRATT032781". Lineage: Eukaryota; Metazoa; Chordata; Mammalia; Rodentia; Muridae. The record is from RNAcentral.
ACCCAGGCUCCUGCUCAGCCUUCAGGAAUCUUGCUUGGGCUGGUCCCGGCGUCCCAGAAACUCAAGAUGGGCGCUUAGGGCCUCCCAGAGAAGAUGAGGCACACUGACGGAGAAGAAGGGCAGGUAAUCGGGCAGAGAGGGCACCCCAGUGGCGUGGUGUGGAAGCACCAGGAAAGGAGGAGGAGGAGGAGAAGGAUGGAGUCCACCAUUUCGAGUGCCGAAAACAGUCAAGAGCAUCAUCGGGCUAACUGCAGCACGGCCACCAGAGCCAUGUUGCUCCACCACCACCACUACAGGUCUCUGGCCACCCGAAACGGUGUGGGAACCGGAGAUGUAGGGCCCUGAGUGUGUGAUGACAGGCCCCCCGCUGCAGGGAGAGUCGGGCACGUUGGAGCUACAAGGCCGCUGGUUGGAGCUGCUGCUCUUAGAAGUAUACGAGCCUCCAGACUGGACAGUGCCUGAUGUCAGGCGGGAAGAAUUGUCAUCCGUCGGGAGAGCAGAGCCAUUUCCUGGUCCCUCUCGGCUGCUUCCUGAACUUCCGGACUGAGAACUACUGCUUACCCAUUGAGAACUGCUGCUUACCCAUCUUCCUGACUGAGAGCCGCUGCUUCCUGACUGAUAGCCGCUGUUUCCUGACUGAUAGCCGCUGCUUCCUGUCUGAGAACCACUGCUUCCUGUCUGAGAGCCGCUGCUUCCUGUCUGGGAGCCGCCAGAACCAAAAGAAUAGCUACUCUGGGAAUACCCUGUCCCUGGUUUAAAUAUCAAGGAUCCUGAAGAACUUCCCUGGGAGCUGCUGGAUCCACCC